CGAUUCGUCUGCCCAAGGCAUAUCAGGUAGUAGUUGGGUCUGCGGCCUAUCAGGUAGUAGUGGGUGUAACGUACCUACUAGCCGACAACGGGUACGGGUUGUGAGAGCAAGAGCCCGGCCCUACGGGGUGCAACCAGCCCGAAAACUUUAAAAUGCCCGUGACCGCGAUAAGGGGAGCUCGAGUGCCAGGUGACAAAUCUGGCUGUCGUGAUGCCUAAAAAGCAUUGCAUAGCAAGGGCCGGGCAAGACCGGUGCCAGCAGCCGCGGUAA
This 270-nucleotide ribosomal RNA is filed under the name uncultured Methanosarcina sp. Its description in RNAcentral is "partial 16S ribosomal RNA". It matches the Rfam family "Archaeal small subunit ribosomal RNA", at positions 176 to 473 of the family's 1478-position model. The record is from RNAcentral. Lineage: Archaea; Methanobacteriati; Methanobacteriota; Methanomicrobia; Methanosarcinales; Methanosarcinaceae.